Non-coding RNA from Schistosoma mansoni, 78 nucleotides. The record is from Rfam. Lineage: Eukaryota; Metazoa; Platyhelminthes; Trematoda; Strigeidida; Schistosomatidae.
AGAUUUCUGAAUCUGUGCUGAAAUUUUGUCAGAUACCAGUUCAUCAGGACUGAUGAGAUCCCCAAGAUAAGUGGGGCG